AGUGAACGCUGGCGGUAGGCCUAACACAUGCAAGUCGAACGGCAGCACAGUAAGAGCUUGCUCUUACGGGUGGCGAGUGGCGGACGGGUGAGGAAUACAUCGGAAUCUACUUUUUCGUGGGGGAUAACGUAGGGAAACUUACGCUAAUACCGCAUACGACCUACGGGUGAAAGCAGGGGAUCUUCGGACCUUGCGCGAUUGAAUGAGCCGAUGUCGGAUUAGCUAGUCGGCGGGGUAAAGGCCCACCAAGGCGACGAUCCGUAGCUGGUCUGAGAGGAUGAGCAGCCACACUGGAACUGAGAAACGGUCCAGACUCCUACGGGAGGCAGCAGUGGGGAAUAUUGGACAAUGGGCGCAAGCCUGAUCCAGCCAUACCGCGUGGGUGAAGAAGGCCUUCGGGUUGUAAAGCCCUUUUGUUGGGAAAGAAAAGCAGCAGGUUAAUACCCCGCUGUUCUGACGGUACCCAAAGAAUAAGCACCGGCUAACUUCGU
Molecule: ribosomal RNA, 491 nt
Filed under: uncultured bacterium
Lineage: Bacteria
Description: partial 16S ribosomal RNA
Rfam family: Bacterial small subunit ribosomal RNA
Source: RNAcentral